UCGACCGCCUGGGGAGUACGGCCGCAAGGUUAAAACUCAAAUGAAUUGACGGGGGCCCGCACAAGCGGUGGAGCAUGUGGUUUAAUUCGAUGCAACGCGAAGAACCUUACCUGGUCUUGACAUCCACAGAACUUUCCAGAGAUGGAUUGGUGCCUUCGGGAACUGUGAGACAGGUGCUGCAUGGCUGUCGUCAGCUCGUGUUGUGAAAUGUUGGGUUAAGUCCCGCAACGAGCGCAACCCUUAUCCUUUGUUGCCAGCGGUCCGGCCGGGAACUCAAAGGAGACUGCCAGUGAUAAACUGGAGGAAGGUGGGGAUGACGUCAAGUCAUCAUGGCCCUUACGACCAGGGCUACACACGUGCUACAAUGGCAUAUACAAAGAGAAGCGACCUCGCGAGAGCAAGCGGACCUCAUAAAGUAUGUCGUAGUCCGGAUUGGAGUCUGCAACUCGACUCCAUGAAGUCGGAAUCGCUAGUAAUCGUAGAUCAGAAUGCUACGGUGAAUACGUUCCCGGGCCUUGUACACACCGCCCGUCACACCAUGGGAGUGGGUUGCAAAAGAAGUAGGUAGCUUAACCUUCGGGAGGGCGCUUACCACUUUGUGAUUCAUGACUGGGGUGAAGUCGUAACAAGGUAACCGUAGGGGAACCUGCGGUUGGAUCACCUCCUUA
RNAcentral lists this ribosomal RNA (668 nucleotides) under Klebsiella pneumoniae. Its description in RNAcentral is "bacterial SSU rRNA". It matches the Rfam family "Bacterial small subunit ribosomal RNA", at positions 865 to 1533 of the family's 1533-position model. Lineage: Bacteria; Pseudomonadati; Pseudomonadota; Gammaproteobacteria; Enterobacterales; Enterobacteriaceae. The record is from RNAcentral.